RNAcentral lists this ribosomal RNA (253 nucleotides) under uncultured bacterium. RNAcentral describes it as "partial 16S ribosomal RNA". It matches the Rfam family "Bacterial small subunit ribosomal RNA", at positions 524 to 776 of the family's 1533-position model. The record is from RNAcentral.
UACGAAGGGGGCUAGCGUUGUUCGGAUUUACUGGGCGUAAAGCGCACGUAGGCGGAUCGUUAAGUCGGGGGUGAAAUCCUGGAGCUCAACUCCAGAACUGCCUUCGAUACUGGCGAUCUUGAGUCCGGAAGAGGUGAGUGGAACUCCUAGUGUAGAGGUGGAAUUCGUAGAUAUUAGGAAGAACACCAGUGGCGAAGGCGACACACUGGCCCGUUACUGACGCUGAGGCUCGAAAGCGUGGGGAGCAAACAGG